GAUCUAGCGGCGGACGGGUGAGUAACGCGUGGGAACGUGCCCUUUGUUUCGGAAUAGCCCCGGGAAACUGGGAGUAAUACCGGAUGAGCCCUACGGGGGAAAGAUUUAUCGCCGAAGGAUUAGCCCGCGUUGGAUUAGGUAGUUGGUGGGGUAAUGGCCUACCAAGCCGACGAUCCAUAGCUGGUUUGAGAGGAUGAUCAGCCACACUGGGACUGAGACACGGCCCAGACUCCUACGGGAGGCAGCAGUGGGGAAUCUUAGACAAUGGGGGAAACCCUGAUCCAGCCAUGCCGCGUGUGUGAAGAAGGUCUUCGGAUUGUAAAGCACUUUAAGUUGGGAGGAAGGGUAGUAACUUAAUACGUUGCUAUUUUGACGUUACCGACAGAAUAAGCACCGGCUAACUUCGUGCCAGCAGCCGCGGUAAUACGAAGGGUGCAAGCGUUAAUCGGAAUUACUGGGCGUAAAGCGCGCGUAGGUGGUUCAGUAAGUUGGAUGUGAAAUCCCCGGGCUCAACCUGGGAACUGCAUCCAAAACUGCUGAGCUAGAGUACGGUAGAGGGUGGUGGAAUUUCCUGUGUAGCGGUGAAAUGCGUAGAUAUAGGAAGGGAACACCAGUGGCGAAGGCGACCACCUGGACUGAUACUGACACUGAGGUGCGAAAGCCGUGGGGAGCAAAAAGGAUUAAAUACCCUGGUAGUCCACGCCGUAAACGAUGUCAACUAAGCCGUUGGGAGGUCUUGAAC
This 742-nucleotide ribosomal RNA is filed under the name uncultured bacterium. Its description in RNAcentral is "bacterial SSU rRNA". It matches the Rfam family "Bacterial small subunit ribosomal RNA", at positions 89 to 837 of the family's 1533-position model. The record is from RNAcentral.